UACGUAGGGGGCUAGCGUUGUCCGGAUUUAUUGGGCGUAAAGAGCGUGUAGGCGGCCAGGUAGGUCUGGUGUGAAAACUCGAGGCUUAACCUCGAGAUGUCAUCGGAAACCAUUUGGCUAGAGUCCGGAAGAGGAAAGUGGAAUUCCUGGUGUAGCGGUGAAAUGCGCAGAUAUCAGGAAGAACACCAAUGGCGAAAGCAGCUUUCUGGGACGGUACUGACGCUGAGAACGCGGAAAGCGUGGGGAGCGAACAGG
This 255-nucleotide ribosomal RNA is filed under the name uncultured bacterium. RNAcentral's name for it is "partial 16S ribosomal RNA". It matches the Rfam family "Bacterial small subunit ribosomal RNA", at positions 524 to 776 of the family's 1533-position model. The record is from RNAcentral.